Long non-coding RNA from Alexandromys fortis (reed vole), 636 nucleotides. RefSeq lists it as uncharacterized. Lineage: Eukaryota; Metazoa; Chordata; Mammalia; Rodentia; Cricetidae. The record is from RefSeq and is a predicted model, not a curated record. The transcript has 3 exons.
CAAAGAUGCAGAUCACCAGCUGCAGGGUCAGGAAAAGCUCCACGGUCACCGCCUGGCCUGCUGUCGCGUUGUUGUGGAGCUGGAGGGGGACGGUCACCCCGACGCAAUGGGAUGAGCAGGGGAUCAAUCUUCCUGGAGUCCCAUGGUCAAAGAACGUAUAGUCUGUGGCUGUUCAAGGGGGACACUCGAGAUGCGGGUCUGACGUCACAUAGCCUGGACUAUUUCUAGAUGGCACUGUUUACUGCCUCCAUGAUUUGGGCCUGCUGAAUGCCGGGUUAAAACUACAGGAUCGGGAGACCUCAGAACUGAACUUACAACACUGUUCCAAGGAUAAACUAGUAUGUGGCCUGGCAAAGGGCAGAUCCGCAUGGAGGGCAACUUCCUGUGGUCCAAGCUGUCUCUUGGUGUCAUCCUCAGAGAACAUGAGCAGCACGGAUGGCCACUGGUCUCUCACCAGCCUCCAGGUGGCCACUGGUCUCUCACCAGCCUCCAGGUGGCCACUGGUCUCUCACCAGCCUCCAGGUGGCCACUGGUCUCUCACCAGCCUCCAGGUGGCCACUGGUCUCUCACCAGCCUCCAGGUGGCCACUGGUCUCUCAUCAGCCUCCAGGUGGCCACUGGUCUCUCACCAGCCUCA